Molecule: ribosomal RNA, 600 nt
Filed under: Bufo verrucosissimus (Caucasian toad)
Lineage: Eukaryota; Metazoa; Chordata; Amphibia; Anura; Bufonidae
Description: partial 16S ribosomal RNA
Rfam family: Bacterial large subunit ribosomal RNA
Source: RNAcentral
CGCCUGUUUAUCAAAAACAUCGCCUCUUGAAUUUAUAUAAGAGGUCCAGCCUGCCCAGUGACCCUGUUCAACGGCCGCGGUAUCCUAACCGUGCGAAGGUAGCGUAAUCACUUGUUCUCUAAAUGCGGACUAGUAUGAAUGGCAUCACGAAGGUUAUACUGUCUCCUUUUUCUAAUCAGUGAAACUAAUCUCCCCGUGAAGAAGCGGGGAUAAUACUAUAAGACGAGAAGACCCUAUGGAGCUUUAAACAGUACAGCAUCUGCCCCAUAACACUAAAAUUUCUGAAUUAAAAACUUCAUUGGACAGUAUGACUGCGAGUUUUUGGUUGGGGUGACCACGGAGCACAAUACAACCUCCAUGCUGAAAGAAAAUUUCUAAGCCAAGGUCUACAAACCUAAGCAUCAACAUAUUGACAUCCAUUGACCCAAUACACUUGAACAACGAACCAAGUUACCCUAGGGAUAACAGCGCAAUCCACUUCAAAAGCUCCUAUCGACAAGUGGGUUUACGACCUCGAUGUUGGAUCAGGGUCUCCCAGUGGUGCAGCCGCUACUAAAGGUUCGUUUGUUCAACGAUUAAAACCCUACGUGAUCUGAGUUA